This 74-nucleotide transfer RNA is filed under the name candidate division MSBL1 archaeon SCGC-AAA261F19. RNAcentral's name for it is "tRNA-Lys". It matches the Rfam family "tRNA". Rfam says of the family: Transfer RNA (tRNA) molecules are approximately 80 nucleotides in length. Their secondary structure includes four short double-helical elements and three loops (D, anti-codon, and T loops). Lineage: Archaea; Methanobacteriati; Methanobacteriota. The record is from RNAcentral.
GGGCCCGUGGCUCAACCUGGAAGAGCAUCCGGCUCUUAACCGGACGGUUGUGGGUUCAAAUCCCACCGGGCCCG